Molecule: ribosomal RNA, 468 nt
Filed under: uncultured bacterium
Lineage: Bacteria
Description: partial 16S ribosomal RNA
Rfam family: Bacterial small subunit ribosomal RNA
Source: RNAcentral
GACGAACGCUGGCGGCGUGCUUAACACAUGCAAGUCGAACGGAAAGGCCCUGCUUUUGUGGGGUGCUCGAGUGGCGAACGGGUGAGUAACACGUGAGUAACCUGCCCUUGACUUUGGGAUAACUUCAGGAAACUGGGGCUAAUACCGGAUAGGAGCUCCUGCUGCAUGGUGGGGGUUGGAACGUUUCGGCGGUUGGGGAUGGACUCGCGGCUUAUCAGCUUGUUGGUGGGGUAGUGGCUUACCAAGGCUUUGACGGGUAGCCGGCCUGAGAGGGUGACCGGCCACAUUGGGACUGAGAUACGGCCCAGACGCGUACGGGAGGCAGCAGUGGGGAAUAUUGCACAAUGGGCGGAAGCCUGAUGCAGCAACGCCGCGUGCGUGAUGACGGCCUUCGGGUUGUAAACCGCUUUCGCCUGUGACGAAGCGUGAGUGACGGUAAUGGGUAAAGAAGCACCGGCUAACUACGUG